AGUGAACGCUGGCGGUAGGCCUAACACAUGCAAGUCGAACGGCAGCACAGUAAGAGCUUGCUCUUACGGGUGGCGAGUGGCGGACGGGUGAGGAAUACAUCGGAAUCUACUUUUUCGUGGGGGAUAACGUAGGGAAACUUACGCUAAUACCGCAUACGACCUACAGGUGAAAGCAGGGGAUCUUCGGACCUUGCGCGAUUGAAUGAGCCGAUGUCGGAUUAGCUAGUUGGCGGGGUAAAGGCCCACCAAGGCGACGAUCCGUAGCUGGUCUGAGAGGAUGGUCAGCCACACUGGAACUGAGACACGGUCCAGACUCCUACGGGAGGCAGCAUUGGGGAAUAUUGGACAAAGGGCGCAAGCCUGAUCCAGCCAUACCGCGUGGGUGAAGAAGGCCUUCGGGUUGUAAAGCCCUUUUGUUGGGAAAGAAAAGCAGCAGGUUAAUACCCCGCUGUUCUGACGGUACCCAAAGAAUAAGCACCGGCUAACUUCGUG
This 492-nucleotide ribosomal RNA is filed under the name uncultured bacterium. RNAcentral's name for it is "partial 16S ribosomal RNA". It matches the Rfam family "Bacterial small subunit ribosomal RNA", at positions 29 to 507 of the family's 1533-position model. The record is from RNAcentral.